AAUAAAUGAUUAAACAAUUUUGAUGGGGACUUGAUUGUGGACAAGAGAAGAUUUUUUACAAGACACUAGGUCUGGUACAAUCACUAGAUAUAGCUAUAUAUGUCUACUAGCUUGAAUUACCUACUUAGUCAGCUUUAUUUACCUACCUGAAGUAGCUUUAUUUAGCUACCAAUUGCAAAGUAAUUUAUUUCUAUAAAAAUACCUACGUUAACGUAGCUUAAUCUAGUGAUUGUACUGGACCUGAAUAUAUACCUAGCAAACCUGUCAAGAGAAGUUUCAACAUGUUCAAGAUUAUUCAAAUUCAUUUCCCUGGUUAGGACUGGGCUUUACAAUAGGAUUUUCAGCUGUGGAGCUAUAAAGAAUUACUACAUAGGGUUUCCAAUGUAGUUUUAUGAACAGAAUCCAGAAUUAAGAAGAGGAAAGACAAUGCAGAUGCAGCAUUAGCAUUACCAAUUACUUAGUAUCACUGCUGAGGAAAUGGUACCUGCUUUGAGUACUACUCUUGUGUAUUUGGAGACAGUGCAGUUGUUCUUUAAACCAGAAGUGGAAAUUUCAGUGCUUGUUAAAUUUUCUCCAGAAGUUAUUGGAUGAUACAUAGGAAGAAAAUGGUGUCAUACUGAACAAAAUAGUUUGGAUACACCUUAUAGAUUUUGAAAGAUUGAGACCUCAAGAUCAACCCAAAUGAUAUUUAAUAUGUAUCAGGGUUCACUUGCAGGAAUACACAGAAAUUCAGAGUAAAUUUUUAGUGCUUGUUAUCUUAGAAAAGAUCAAAGUUCAAGGUCAGCAGUGCUUUAGUUUUACCAAAUAUAAAACUAUUAUAAAGACUAAUUUCCUGUAUACAGGUAUAGCAAAUAAUCCAGAAUAUGAUUUGGGGAAACCGUGAUUUUUUCUUUUAAAUCUUACCUUAAUUUAGAACCAUGAUGUAUAACUUAAGCAAGAAGAUUUUUUUCAAGCAUACAAAAUUUCAAGGUCAUUUUAAUUUUGGAAGUGAAUAUAAAAUAUCAGGAAGCAGUCAAGCAUUGUAAUUUAUUUGUUGUUGAAUGUACUUACUUAUUGAGUAAUAUUCAAAUUUUAAUAUGCAAUGAAACUAAAAAUUUUAAAA
Long non-coding RNA from Saccostrea cuccullata (small rock oyster), 1102 nucleotides. RefSeq lists it as uncharacterized. The transcript is spliced from 3 exons. NCBI's taxonomy places the organism in Eukaryota, Metazoa, Mollusca, Bivalvia, Ostreida, Ostreidae. The record is from RefSeq and is a predicted model, not a curated record.